RNAcentral lists this ribosomal RNA (1067 nucleotides) under Leucobacter sp. dR13-9. RNAcentral's name for it is "bacterial SSU rRNA". It matches the Rfam family "Bacterial small subunit ribosomal RNA", at positions 37 to 1114 of the family's 1533-position model. Lineage: Bacteria; Bacillati; Actinomycetota; Actinomycetes; Micrococcales; Microbacteriaceae. The record is from RNAcentral.
UGGUGGGGCUGCUUAACAUGCAAGUCGAACGAUGAAGCCCAGCUUGCUGGGUGGAAGAGUGGCGAACGGGUGAGUAACACGUGAGUAACCUGCCCCGAACUCUGGGAUAAGCGCUGGAAACGGCGUCUAAUACUGGAUAUGUCCCAUCACCGCAUGGUGUGUGGGUGGAAAGAUUUAUCGGUUCGGGAUGGACUCGCGGCCUAUCAGCUUGUUGGUGAGGUAACGGCUCACCAAGGCGACGACGGGUAGCCGGCCUGAGAGGGUGACCGGCCACACUGGGACUGAGACACGGCCCAGACUCCUACGGGAGGCAGCAGUGGGGAAUAUUGCACAAUGGGCGCAAGCCUGAUGCAGCAACGCCGCGUGAGGGAUGACGGCCUUCGGGUUGUAAACCUCUUUUAGUAGGGAAGAAGCGAAAGUGACGGUACCUGCAGAAAAAGCACCGGCUAACUACGUGCCAGCAGCCGCGGUAAUACGUAGGGUGCAAGCGUUGUCCGGAAUUAUUGGGCGUAAAGAGCUCGUAGGCGGCUUGUCGCGUCUGCUGUGAAAACCCGAGGCUCAACCUCGGGCCUGCAGUGGGUACGGGCAGGCUAGAGUGCGGUAGGGGAGAUUGGAAUUCCUGGUGUAGCGGUGGAAUGCGCAGAUAUCAGGAGGAACACCGAUGGCGAAGGCAGAUCUCUGGGCCGUAACUGACGCUGAGGAGCGAAAGCAUGGGGAGCGAACAGGAUUAGAUACCCUGGUAGUCCAUGCCGUAAACGUUGGGAACUAGAUGUAGGGACUGUUCCACGGUUUCUGUGUCGUAGCUAACGCAUUAAGUUCCCCGCCUGGGGAGUACGGCCGCAAGGCUAAAACUCAAAGGAAUUGACGGGGGCCCGCACAAGCGGCGGAGCAUGCGGAUUAAUUCGAUGCAACGCGAAGAACCUUACCAAGGCUUGACAUAGCCGAGAACGCUGUAGAGAUACAGAACUCUUUGGACACUCGGUUUACAGGUGGUGCAUGGUUGUCGUCAGCUCGUGUCGUGAGAUGUUCGGUUAAGUCCGGCCAACGAGCGCAACCCUCGUCCCUAU